ACUCCAUGAUUCGGGCAAAUUCGUAUCAACUCUUUAAAGCGUUCCUACGCUUCAUACAGACUUUCUCCAUCAUACAUUUGAAAGGAAGCUAUAUCAGCCCUCACUUGAGCUU
Molecule: small nucleolar RNA, 112 nt
Organism: Gastrolobium bilobum
Lineage: Eukaryota; Viridiplantae; Streptophyta; Magnoliopsida; Fabales; Fabaceae
Source: RefSeq, a predicted model, not a curated record